RNAcentral lists this unclassified non-coding RNA (389 nucleotides) under uncultured fungus. Its description in RNAcentral is "sequence contains ITS1". The stretch from base 1 to 106 matches the Rfam family "5.8S ribosomal RNA", at positions 49 to 154 of the family's 154-position model. The record is from RNAcentral. Lineage: Eukaryota; Fungi.
UGAAUUGCGAUAAGUAAUGUGAAUUGCAUCACCUGUGAAUCAUCAAAUCUUUGAACGCAUUUUGCGCUUUUUGGGUCUACUAAAAAGCAUACCUGUUUGAGUAUCAGAAAGUACUCUAAAACCUCUCCUCUUCACUUACUUUAUUGUGUAUGAAUGAGAGAUUUAGGAAUUGAGGUCUAGCCUCGUAAGAGGUUAUUCCUUGAAAGUAAUUAAUGAAGUCAAAUAUAUUUCUUGACAUAUAAAGUGCGGUAAGAAAAUAGUUAUUUUCUCCCAUUGAUAUUAUGUUUCGAAUGUAUAUCUGACAUUACUCAUUAUUUUUUAGUAUUAACUACUACUAAAACUUUUGAACUCUUGAUCUCAAAUCAGGUAGGAUCACCCGCUGAACUUAA